UCAAACAAAUGGAGUUCCAUAACAUUUUAUCAAAAGUAAAGGGUAAGACAGCCUAGGCAAGGAGAGGGCUUUUGGGUUGCAGGAGAAAUAAUGGGGGACGAGGGAGAAGAGAGAGAAAGGGUACACGUUUGAGAGGGAGAUGGAAAUAAAGAGAGGAGAGAGAGGGAAAAGCCGAAGGAAAGAGAGAGGGGGAGAUGGAAAUAGAGAGAGGGAAAGCCAAAAGCGGAGUACGGGGUAAUUUAUGGUUUUCUUGUUUAAAAGGAUACAGGGGUAAAUUGAAAAAUAGGAGGGUGACCUGUUGAAUAGGUUACCAGG
RNAcentral lists this long non-coding RNA (315 nucleotides) under Amborella trichopoda. RNAcentral's name for it is "long non-coding RNA (ATRI_LNC005067)". The record is from RNAcentral. Lineage: Eukaryota; Viridiplantae; Streptophyta; Magnoliopsida; Amborellales; Amborellaceae.